Peromyscus eremicus (cactus mouse) is the source of this 333-nucleotide long non-coding RNA. RefSeq lists it as uncharacterized. The record is from RefSeq and is a predicted model, not a curated record. NCBI's taxonomy places the organism in Eukaryota, Metazoa, Chordata, Mammalia, Rodentia, Cricetidae. The transcript is spliced from 3 exons.
AGCUUCUCUAGCUGGCUGAGAGAAUGUGUGUGUGAGUUCGCCUGCAACAGUCAUUUCCCAUGUUCUAAUGCUCCGUUGGUCAGUGUCAUUGACAUUAGCUUAAAGAUUGCCAGAGUCUCCAAGCAAAACUUCAAGAGCUCUGUGAUCUUCCAACACCUCAGGCGAGUUUUAUGGAAUAGAAGUAGAAAACAGAACCCAGCAGUGCUCCUGACCAUGGAUCCACCAUGUGGAAGGCAAGAGGUCUCCCUGAGCCAAAUUUCCAAGAGGACACAAUGAAGAUUGUUGACAAUUGCCAGGCAAGAAGCACAUGAACUGGGAAGAUCAUGAGUGCAA